Molecule: unclassified non-coding RNA, 88 nt
Filed under: Aristaeella lactis
Lineage: Bacteria; Bacillati; Bacillota; Clostridia; Eubacteriales; Aristaeellaceae
Description: Gut-1 RNA
Source: RNAcentral
AAAUGAUAUGUUGACUGCGUCAACAUGAUAUAUUCUGCUUUCAGCAGAAUAUGAUAUAUUGAGCCUGCGGCUCAAUGUGAUAUUUUCG